GGGUGAGUAACACGUGAGCAACCUGCCGGGAAGCCCGGGAUAGCCCUCCGAAAGGAGGAUUAAUACCGGAUGUGGCCACCCUGCGAUUGCAGGGGAAGCUAAAGGAUUUAUUCACUUCCCGAGGGGCUCGCGGUCCAUCAGCUUGUUGGUGAGGGUAACGGCCCACCAAGGCGACAACGGGUAGCUGGUCUGAGAGGAUGGUCAGCCACACUGGAACUGAGACACGGUCCAGACACCUACGGGUGGCAGCAGUCGAGAAUCAUUCGCAAUGGGGGAAACCCUGACGAUGCGACGCCGCGUGGAGGAUGAAGGCCUUAGGGUUGUAAACUCCUGUCAAGAGGGAAUAAGCAAGUGAAGGUACCUCUAGAGGAAGGGGCGGCUAAUUCCGUGCCAGCAGCCGCGGUAACACGGAAGCCCCGAGCGUUGUUCGGAUUCAUUGGGCGUAAAGGGUGCGUAGGCGGCGCGGAAAGUCCGGCGUGAAAGGCAGAGGCUCAACCUCUGGACUGCGUUGGAUACUUCCGUGCUUGAGGACUGGAGGGGAGACUGGAAUUCACGGUGUAGCAGUGAAAUGCGUAGAUAUCGUGAGGAAGACCGGUGGCGAAGGCGAGUCUCUGGACAGAUCCUGACGCUGAGGCACGAAGGCUGGGGGAGCGAACAGGAUUAGAUACCCUGGUAGUCCCAGCAGUAAACGAUGUGAGCUUGAUGUGGGGGGAUUCGACCCCUUCCGUGUCGAAGCUAACGCGAUAAGCUCACCGCCUGAGGAGUACGGCCGCAAGGCUAAAACUCAAAGAAAUUGACGGGGACCCGCACAAGCGGUGGAGUAUGUGGCUUAAUUCGAUGCAACGCGAAGAACCUUACCUGGCCUUGACAUGCAUUGUGUCGUCGGUGAAAGCCGGCUAGUCCUGGAAACAGGACGCUUUGCACAGGUGCUACAUGGCUGUCGUCAGCUCGUGUCGUGAGAUGUUGGGUUAAGUCUCGCAUNCAGCGCAACCCUUGUGGUCAGUUACUAACCGGCUUAGCCGGAGGAGUCUGGCCAGACUGCCCUGUCAAACGGGGAGGAAGGUGGGGACGCCGUCAAGUCAGUAUGG
RNAcentral lists this ribosomal RNA (1088 nucleotides) under uncultured organism. RNAcentral describes it as "bacterial SSU rRNA". It matches the Rfam family "Bacterial small subunit ribosomal RNA", at positions 104 to 1198 of the family's 1533-position model. The record is from RNAcentral.